This 1724-nucleotide long non-coding RNA is filed under the name Homo sapiens (human). RNAcentral's name for it is "HSALNT0369264". Lineage: Eukaryota; Metazoa; Chordata; Mammalia; Primates; Hominidae. The record is from RNAcentral.
AGUAAUACACUUGACUUAGAAAGACAAGCCAGCGGCAAUUAUAAAAUAAUGACACCUAAGAAUGUUUUCAAGAAGUCUGGUUCAUAAUGCAUUCAAACUUAAAAAAAUAUUAAAGACAACUAAAAAAAUUUUGCUCAUUUUUGGAGCAAAAAAACUACCAAAGAAGGAGCAGCUUGAGGGAAUAUUAAUGGAUUAUGAGAAGAAAAUGAAACUGAACUAUUUUGCGUUAUCCUACAAGAUGAAUGAUUAUAGAGUACAAUAGACUGACUAACCAGGAGUUGAAAGCCAGAUCAUAAGAUAUUUGAAGAGACACAGUAACCUCUCAAAAUGAGGCCAAUUUUCUUAGAUCAGGCUUUUCACUUGAGUGCUGUACAUGUGUGUCCUUCAGGUACUGAUGAAGCCUCUACAGAGCUCUCUUCUCAGCCUUGCUCUGCCAUUUCUGCUGCUACUGCAGCAGUGACACUGGAAUCCCUGAAGCAUCAAAUCUUGAAUUGGAGGAAAGUACUUCUUUCCAUAUUUUGUAAUAUGUCCUACUAAAGGAUAGCAAAGCAGAGUUGUUUGCUCCCAUCUUAGAAACUUUUAAAUAAAAUUUAGGUAUUACUUUUAAACAUAGGUCCACAGAGAAGACAAAUCUAAGUGGCAAAAAUAAUGUGUAUUCAGCGUCACUAUUCCCCAAGGAUGACAAAUGUAUGUUUUUUGCUGUAAUAUCUCCCAGUUGACUCCAUCUUCUCUUCUAUUGAAUUUUCAACCAGAGAGCUUCUUAGUUCCUUAUUCAAAUACAGUUUUGGUAGACCUAACCAGUAUUAUAUGUGCCUGAUCUAUCUAAAUCUAAUCAAGUUUGGUUUAAAUGAAAUCAAGUGUACUCACAGCCUCUCAUACCUAUUCCAUUUUUACUUUUGUACAACCACAAAAUUAGCCCAGAGUGGGGGAGUUCACUUGAUAAUUUGCUAAGUGCAAUUGCCACCACCAGUACUCUAUGAUCCAGCCCCUCCCUACCCAACAUGACAUCAUCGAUUAAAAUUCCUAAAUCAAUGCUAUUUUUUACUUAAGAAUGUAUAGUAUUUUUCUUUGACUCUUCAGAUAAAGACCCUCAAUCAAUCUACCACUCAAAUAUCUUCCUAAUAUUUACUGUAAUACGGUUUCCAUUGUUCUUUAAUUUUAGCUCUUACCUUUCUUCAUCUCAGCCCUAUAUCACGAAUAUUCUUCCUUUUCAAAUGGUCACAUUAUUUCUAAGUAUCCACCACAAUCUCUACCUUCUCUCAGAACAGUUGUGAAAUUUUAAGUUGUAUUUUUGAAAAUUUGGUAAAUCAUUUGAUGCUUAAAUAAUUGAAUAAGGUCAGGCUGUGUUUAAUAAAUGUCAGCUGUGCUUUAUGGUACGUAGGUAAAACACAAUAUGGCUUAAAGGUAAAAAUCAAACAAUUCACCCUAAGGUUAGCGUUACAAUUUUUAUUAUCCCCUUAGGUUAGCAAACCACUGAUAACAAACCCAGGUGUUACUUUGUCCUUUCUUGUUAGACUUAAACUCAGUAAUUCCAGAUUAAGUCUCAUCCUGAUAUCGUCAAAAACCCAAUUUGGCAAUUCAAUUAUACUGCCUGCCUUUUUAGAAAAAUUUCCCUUUGUCGAUGGCAUCACACUUCCAAUCUCUUUUUCAAUGGUUGCCUUCAUCCUCCUACAUGUGACUGCAACUCCUUCAAGCUACAUCAAAAAUACAGUUCUUUAAUUUUC